AAAAAUAUUAAGUUGUUAACUCGAGACGCACUUGACGCGAAGCUUCGUGCUUUAAUGGACUUGCAUUUUGUUGCCAUUGCCGCCAGUUGCCAUGCACAUUUAUUAGAAAACUUGACUUAAGACUUAACUCCUUAAGUCUGAAACGCCAGGACGAAUAUAAUUCGCAUAUUAUUGUGGUAGUUAUCUCAAUCGACUCAAUGCAAAACGAAGUUUAUUCCAUUGCUAGGUGAAACGCUC
Daphnia pulicaria is the source of this 237-nucleotide long non-coding RNA. RefSeq lists it as uncharacterized. The record is from RefSeq and is a predicted model, not a curated record. The transcript is spliced from 2 exons. NCBI's taxonomy places the organism in Eukaryota, Metazoa, Arthropoda, Branchiopoda, Diplostraca, Daphniidae.